CUCUCUCUGUUACCGCCGAUCAGAGAGACAAAGAGAGUGAGAGAGACAGAGAGAGAGAGACAAAGUGUGAGAGAGUGUCGGGUCAGAGGUCAUUGGUUGAUGUUUACGCGUUCGCCGGUCUUAUCGCUUAGGGUUAAUGCAGGGUUAAUGUAGAGAAUGCUUACACAAGGUCCUGAGGGUGACUCACGUAAGGGGCGACAGAGGCCCUGAGGGUGAGCUACAAGGGAGAAAAGGGAGCAGACGGUGUCAAGAAUUGGUACUAUUCACACGGAUAUCCUUUCUGUCCGAGUUUGUCCGAGUCCGAGAGCCCGAAACACGUAAGUUAACUCGCUCUCGUGUCGUAUAUGUAUAUACGUCGCCCCUGUUAUGUCAUCAUAAUGCCAUAUUAUUGACUUGUUCUUUGUUCUAGUAGCCACAAAUUGUGUUCCAGGUUUUGACCGAACAGGAUCAAAAUAAAAGUUCGUGUCGACGUGCGGGUGUCUCAUUCUCCAGGUCAACAUUAUUGAAAUCACCGCAGUUGCGGUAACA
Long non-coding RNA from Eriocheir sinensis (Chinese mitten crab), 528 nucleotides. RefSeq lists it as uncharacterized. The transcript is spliced from 2 exons. The record is from RefSeq and is a predicted model, not a curated record. NCBI's taxonomy places the organism in Eukaryota, Metazoa, Arthropoda, Malacostraca, Decapoda, Varunidae.